This is an RNA transcript of Ananas comosus (pineapple), 1291 nucleotides long. RefSeq lists it as uncharacterized. The record is from RefSeq and is a predicted model, not a curated record. The transcript has 9 exons. Lineage: Eukaryota; Viridiplantae; Streptophyta; Magnoliopsida; Poales; Bromeliaceae.
UCACACAUCGACCCAUCGCACACGCCAAAUUCUUUUUUUCUUUUUCUUUUUUUUAAAAAAAAUCAUAAUUUUACAAAUUGGUCCUUCUAGCUCCCUAAUUUCCUCGUCGCCACUAUUUUUUUUACUUUUCUUUUUUGUUAUUUUCGAAAAUGUUUAAUACAACGAGCACGUUGAUGAGAUUCGGGAGUAAUUUCCCACCUAAUCACUCGCUCUUCUCCUCAUCACAAGGUAGAAAGUAUAGCAGCCCCUUUACCACAAGAAAACGUCUUCUCGUUUAUCCAUGCAGUUGGAAUCAGGUACAACUCAAAGCAUUUGCAUCACGAAAAUCUGAGAGGAAAAGGAGCGGUGAUCGAAAAACAACCAAAGAAGGAACGCUGACAAGUAAAAUACUUUCCCCAGAUGGCUAUAAGGAGUCGACUGACAAAGAUUCUAAUGAUGGUAAUAGUGGUCGUUCCGCCAGUGUCGAACUGCUCAAUGAGAAUGCAGAUGCCGCUGUUCAAGUUGCAGGCUCAAGUAGAGCUGCGGUGCUUCAGGCUUGUAUUAUCACAUCCGUCUUAUUGGUUGCUUCAGGGGUAGCAAUUCGGCAGGCUUCCCAUCUUGCAUAUGCAAAAGGGUGGGCAAAUUUUGACUCUACAGAAAUAGCAUUUGGUUUUGAAAUGUGGCAUAUCGAACUGAUCGUGGGACUAGUUAUACUGAUCUCAACUAGUCGAUUUAUUCUCCUGAAGAUAUGGCCAGAUUUUUCAGAGUCUAGCGAUGCAGCUAACCAACAAAUUCUUAGUUCAUUGCAACCGUUGGAUUAUGUCGUGGUUGCAUUUCUCCCCGGGAUUAGUGAGGAAUUGCUCUUUCGCGGGGGUCUAAUGCCGCUUUUCGGACUUAAUUGGAUAAGCGCCCUCGGGAUCGGUGCUCUCUUCGGAGUUCUUCACUUGGGUGGCGGCCGGAAACUUUCGUACGCCGUUUGGUUCGAUUCAACCCGGACCUAUCUCGGGUCGGUCAAGCCAUAUGCUACCACUACGGUUGCGGCGUCAACGACGUUCGUACACCCGAAAAGCCCGAUCCACAUCACUAUUACAACCACGCACAGAUUACAAAAGAAGUAGAAAGCGCGAGAAUAGAUUCGCGUCUCUUAGAGCUGAUAUUUGUCGAAAACUUCGAGGGCAACAUUUGUCGGGUUCGCCUACGGCGUGGCGACUGUAACUUCCGCGAGCCUCGUUGUUCCGAUGGCGUCGCAUUCGCUGAACAAUCUCGUCGGAGGCCUCUUAUGGCGCUUCGCCGCUUCGAAUCCGCAAGAGAA